RNAcentral lists this long non-coding RNA (672 nucleotides) under Carica papaya (papaya). RNAcentral describes it as "long non-coding RNA (CPAP_LNC014766)". The record is from RNAcentral. Lineage: Eukaryota; Viridiplantae; Streptophyta; Magnoliopsida; Brassicales; Caricaceae.
GUUGGGUACUGUGCGCGCGCACAUAUGCGCACAAUAGCCGCGGGACGUGUGCACAACACGCACGUCCCUUCCGCACGCAUGCACACACAGGAUGUGCGAACAGCGCAGACGUCCCCUCUAGACGCACGCAUAAACGGGACGUGCGCACAGUGUGCACUUCCCUUUUGCACACAUGACGCAAGGUCAAGACCUACGUGAAUCCUGUCACGCGCAGGCGAGCCAUCAAUGCAUCACCUUGCACGCGGACAGGCCCUCUGUGCCUAGGGCCUGCGUGCAGUAGGCUUGGGCGCGUGGCGCCCAGCGUGCGCAAGCGCUGUGGGCAUGCAGGCUAGCCCCUGUACGUAUGGUAAGAGGCCUGUGUGCCUGCAGUGCGCUGGCUAGGGCACUACCACCUCGGGCAGUGCACUACCACUACCUUGGGCGGCACGCUGCCACUACCACCAUCGGUGGAGGAGGCCUUCCUCCCGUAUUUUUCAUGCUGAGCAUCUUUUUCUCCUCUCCCUUCACCAGAGUUUACCACUUGUCGUGAAUUUAAUGAUCCCAAAACUCUAUAAAUUUUCCUCCCCCUUCCCUUUCUCUCCAUACUUCCAUUCUUCUAUUUUUCAAAGGUUUAGAGCGAGAGAGAGAGAGAAAGAGAGAUAGUAGUCUAGUGAGAGAAUAAGAGAAAGAAAG